Molecule: ribosomal RNA, 252 nt
Filed under: uncultured bacterium
Lineage: Bacteria
Description: partial 16S ribosomal RNA
Rfam family: Bacterial small subunit ribosomal RNA
Source: RNAcentral
UACGUAGGGUGCAGGCGUUAAUCGGAAUUACUGGGCGUAAAGCGUGCGCAGGCGGUUUGCUAAGAGAGAUGUGAAAUCCCCGGGCUUAACCUGGGAACUGCGUUUCUAACUGGCAGGCUUGAGUGUGGCAGAGGGGGGUGGAAUUCCACGUGUAGCAGUGAAAUGCGUAGAGAUGUGAGGAACACCGAUGGCGAAGGCAGCCCCCUGGGCUAACACUGACGCUCAUGCACGAAAGCGUGGGGAGCAAACGGG